UUUCUUGACCUUGUAAGACCC
Molecule: non-coding RNA, 21 nt
Filed under: Arabidopsis thaliana (thale cress)
Lineage: Eukaryota; Viridiplantae; Streptophyta; Magnoliopsida; Brassicales; Brassicaceae
Source: RNAcentral